This 235-nucleotide long non-coding RNA is filed under the name Mytilus galloprovincialis (Mediterranean mussel). The record is from RNAcentral. Lineage: Eukaryota; Metazoa; Mollusca; Bivalvia; Mytilida; Mytilidae.
AUAAAUAAAAAGCAAAUUUCUUCAAACAUUUUUUUGAGAGGACUAAUAUUCAACAGCAUAGUGAAUUGCUCAAAGGCAAAAAAAAAUAUUUUAAGUUCAUUAGACCACAUUCAUUCUGUGUCAGAAACCUAUGCUGUGUCAACUAUUUAAUCACAAUCCAAAUUUAGAGCUGAAUCCAGCUUAAAUGUUGUGUCCAUACUUGCCCCACCCGUAUAGGGUUCAACCUCUGCGGUCG